This 221-nucleotide long non-coding RNA is filed under the name Setaria italica (foxtail millet). RNAcentral's name for it is "long non-coding RNA (SITA_LNC003010)". Lineage: Eukaryota; Viridiplantae; Streptophyta; Magnoliopsida; Poales; Poaceae. The record is from RNAcentral.
GUGGAGCUGCUCUACUCCAAAACUCCAGGUAGAGUCAGCUCCACUCCAGAACUCCAGAAAUAAAAUGGGGUGUUUGGCUAGAUGGGUACUCUCAGCUCCAAAAAAAAUCAAUUUCAGUGUUAAUUGCCAUUGUUGCCCCCAAUUCAGGCCCCACUUGUCAUCCUCUCCCCCCCUUUCUUCCUCCUUUCUUUUUCCUCUCUCUGCCGUUGUCCACUGGUCAC